GAUGAACGCUGGCGGCGUGCCUAAUACAUGCAAGUCGAGCGAACAGACGAGGAGCUUGCUCCUUCGACGUUAGCGGCGGACGGGUGAGUAACACGUAGGUAACCUACCUAUAAGACUGGGAUAACUUCGGGAAACCGGAGCUAAUACCGGAUAAUAUUUCGAACCGCAUGGUUCGAUAGUGAAAGAUGGCUUUGCUAUCACUUAUAGAUGGACCUGCGCCGUAUUAGCUAGUUGGUAAGGUAACGGCUUACCAAGGUAACGAUACGUAGCCGACCUGAGAGGCUGAUCGGCCACCCUGGAACUGAGACACGGUCCAGACUCCUACGGGAGGCAGCAGUAGGGAAUCUUCCGCAAUGGGCGAAAGCCUGACGGAGCAACGCCGCGUGAGUGAUGAAGGUCUUCGGAGCGUAAAACUCUGUUAUUAGUGAAGAACAAACGUGUAAGUAACUGUGCACGUCUUGACGGUACCUAAUCAGAAAGCCACGGCUAACUACGUG
This 497-nucleotide ribosomal RNA is filed under the name uncultured bacterium. Its description in RNAcentral is "partial 16S ribosomal RNA". It matches the Rfam family "Bacterial small subunit ribosomal RNA", at positions 28 to 507 of the family's 1533-position model. The record is from RNAcentral.